GGCGCAGCUUUAUACGACCACAGAGGUCGAACCCUGAACAGUUGGGGCAAGUAUGGACACAACAUUUAAGCUUGAUACAUCUCUGAAUUUGGAUUGUGAUUAUAUAGUUGACACAACAUAUAGGUUCUGACACAGAAUGAAUGUGGUCUAAGAACUUAAACUUAAAAAUUUUAAAUUGGACAUUUACCUAUUAUGGUCCAAUAUCCAAAAUCUAAAUACAUG
RNAcentral lists this long non-coding RNA (222 nucleotides) under Mytilus galloprovincialis (Mediterranean mussel). The record is from RNAcentral. Lineage: Eukaryota; Metazoa; Mollusca; Bivalvia; Mytilida; Mytilidae.